CAUCACUACACCAUUACAACACAGAGAUACAACAUCACUACACCAUUACAACACAGAGAUACAACAUCACUACACCAUUACAACACAGAGAUAUAACAUCACUACACCAUUACAACACAGAGAUACAGCAUUACUACACCAUUACAACACAGAGAUACAACAUUACUACACCAUUACUACACAGAUAUAUAACAUUACUACGCCAUUACUACACAGAGAUACAACAUUACUACACCAUUACUACACAGAUAUAUAACAUUACUACGCCAUUACUACACAGAGAUACAACAUUAC
RNAcentral lists this long non-coding RNA (294 nucleotides) under Mytilus galloprovincialis (Mediterranean mussel). Lineage: Eukaryota; Metazoa; Mollusca; Bivalvia; Mytilida; Mytilidae. The record is from RNAcentral.